RNAcentral lists this small nuclear RNA (301 nucleotides) under Choloepus hoffmanni (Hoffmann's two-fingered sloth). RNAcentral describes it as "7SK RNA (ENSCHOG00000014371.1)". It matches the Rfam family "7SK RNA". Rfam says of the family: 7SK was discovered as an abundant small nuclear RNA in the mid-70s but a possible function has only recently been suggested. Two independent studies have found that 7SK RNA binds the CDK9/cyclin T complex (known as elongation factor P-TEFb). Lineage: Eukaryota; Metazoa; Chordata; Mammalia; Pilosa; Megalonychidae. The record is from RNAcentral.
GUAUGUAAGGGUGAUCUGGCUCCAACAUCUGUCACCCAUUGAUUGCCAAGGUUAAAUCAGCUGAUCAGGUUGGCUAGGCAAGUGUCCCCCCACCCCACACACACACUUCUCCAUGUGUGUCCUUCCCAAAGCUGUGAGCUUGGUUGAAGAGGAUGACCAACUCCAGUAGAGUUGUCCUUUGGUCAAGGAUAUGUAAGUAGCUGUGUUCCCAUGUUAGAACCUCCUAAAAAGCUCUCAAGGUCCUCUCAUUUCUUAGUUGCAUUCUACUUGGCAGAUGAAUGUGAUGCUUACAUUCUAUUCU